Molecule: ribosomal RNA, 383 nt
Filed under: uncultured bacterium
Lineage: Bacteria
Description: bacterial SSU rRNA
Rfam family: Bacterial small subunit ribosomal RNA
Source: RNAcentral
GACGAACGCUGGCGGCGUGCUUAACACAUGCAAGUCGAGCGGUAAGGCCUUUCGGGGUACGCGAGCGGCGAACGGGUGAGUAACACGUGGGUGACCUGCCCUCCACUUCGGGAUAAGCCUGGGAAACUGGGUCUAAUACCGGAUAGGACCUCUGGAUGCAUGUCUGGGGGUGGAAAGUUUUGUCGGUGGGGGAUGGGCCCGCGGUCUAUCAGCUUGUUGGUGGGGUGAUGGCUUACCAAGGCGACGACGGAUAGCCGGCCUGAGAGGGUGAUCGGCCACACUGGGACUGAGACACGGCCCAGACUCCUACGGGAGGCAGCAGUGGGGAAUCUUGCGCAAUGGGCGGAAGCCUGACGCAGCAACGCCGCGUGGGGAUGACGGCC